This 220-nucleotide ribosomal RNA is filed under the name uncultured bacterium. Its description in RNAcentral is "partial 16S ribosomal RNA". It matches the Rfam family "Bacterial small subunit ribosomal RNA", at positions 111 to 334 of the family's 1533-position model. The record is from RNAcentral.
UAAUGUCUGGGAAACUGCCUGAUGGAGGGGGAUAACUACUGGAAACGGUAGCUAAUACCGCAUAACGUCGCAAGACCAAAGUGGGGGACCUUCGGGCCUCAUGCCAUCAGAUGUGCCCAGAUGGGAUUAGCUAGUAGGUGGGGUAAUGGCUCACCUAGGCGACGAUCCCUAGCUGGUCUGAGAGGAUGGCCAGCCACACUGGAACUGAGACACGGUCCAG